CGGUAUUCCCUAGGCCGUAAACCGAUGUCAACUAGGUGUAGGGGGUAUCCCAACCCCCCCCUGUGGCUGUAGGCUAACGCGUUAAGUUGACCCGCCUGGGGACUACGGCCGCAAGGCUAAAACUCCAAAGGAAUUGACGGGGACCCGCACAAGCCAGCGGAGCGUGUGGUUUAAUUCGAGGCUACGCGAAGAACCUUACCAGGGUUUGACAUGGCGGUGGUAGGAAGGUGAAAGCCGACCGACCCUUCGGGGAGCCGUCACAGGUGCUGCAUGGCUGUCGUCAGCUCGUGCCGUGAGGUGUUAGGUUAAGUCCUGUAACGAGCGCAACCCUCGUCGUUAGUUAUACGUGUCUAACGAGACUGCCGGUGAUAAGCCGGAGGAAGGUGGGGAUGACGUCAAGUCAGCAUGGCCUUUAUAUCCUGGGCUACACACACGCUACAAUGGCCGGUACAAUGGGUUGCCAAGCCGCGAGGCGGAGCCAAU
This 483-nucleotide ribosomal RNA is filed under the name uncultured bacterium. RNAcentral's name for it is "bacterial SSU rRNA". It matches the Rfam family "Bacterial small subunit ribosomal RNA", at positions 788 to 1272 of the family's 1533-position model. The record is from RNAcentral.